UACGGAGGGUGCAAGCGUUAUCCGGAUUCACUGGGCUUAAAGGGCGCGUAGGCGGGUGCUCAAGUCCGGGGUGAAAUCCUCCAGCUCAACUGGAGAACUGCCUCGGAUACUGGGUGCCUCGAGUGUGGUAGGGGUGUGCGGAACUAUCGGUGGAGCGGUGAAAUGCGUUGAUAUCGAUAGGAACUCCGGUGGCGAAGGCGGCACACUGGACCACAACUGACGCUGAGGCGCGAAAGCCAGGGGAGCAAACGGG
This 253-nucleotide ribosomal RNA is filed under the name uncultured bacterium. Its description in RNAcentral is "partial 16S ribosomal RNA". It matches the Rfam family "Bacterial small subunit ribosomal RNA", at positions 524 to 776 of the family's 1533-position model. The record is from RNAcentral.